Molecule: long non-coding RNA, 464 nt
Organism: Anneissia japonica
Lineage: Eukaryota; Metazoa; Echinodermata; Crinoidea; Comatulida; Comatulidae
Exons: 3
Source: RefSeq, a predicted model, not a curated record
AUGAAGCAACAGAACAUGACCCAUGCUGCAAUACAUAAAAAGUAUAUUGAGUCGACAGACAAAUCUCUUGUCAAGAUAACAAGUAACUUUUGAUAUACAUCAAAUAUUUGAUAAUACUGGAAGGGUGUGUUACUGCUGAAUAACGCCAAAAACACGGUAAUGCGAGCAUUGGUAGGUGGCAGAGCUUAAAUGACGGCCACCAACGGAAGUUGAAGCUGACCUUACAACUUGCGAGCUACAGCGGAUGCUGAGAAAGAAGUAAACAACACACCACAAAAGUAUGACAGAAUUAUGAUGUGGCCACAGAGGUGCAAGACAGGAAAAGUACUGCUGCAGAACAAGACAAGGAAGAGAAACCUACUAUAAUUAAUUUAGGCAAUUUAACUUUAGUUAAUUAAAUUUGUGAUGCCUAAUACAAUACAGAAGUUUAGCUUGAACAUCAGCUGAAUAUUGUGAUGCCGUAA